RNAcentral lists this transfer RNA (22 nucleotides) under Paratrochosina amica. RNAcentral's name for it is "partial tRNA-Leu". Lineage: Eukaryota; Metazoa; Arthropoda; Arachnida; Araneae; Lycosidae. The record is from RNAcentral.
AAUAUAUUGGCAGAAUAAAUGC